RNAcentral lists this ribosomal RNA (499 nucleotides) under uncultured bacterium. RNAcentral's name for it is "partial 16S ribosomal RNA". It matches the Rfam family "Bacterial small subunit ribosomal RNA", at positions 899 to 1397 of the family's 1533-position model. The record is from RNAcentral.
ACUCAAAUGAAUUGACGGGGGCCCGCACAAGCGGUGGAGCAUGUGGUUCAAUUCGACGCAACGCGAAGAACCUUACCUGGGCUCGAACGGCCAGUCAACGGCGGUGGAAACAUCGCUACCCCGCAAGGGGGUCUGGUCGAGGUGCUGCAUGGCUGUCGUCAGCUCGUGUCGUGAGAUGUUGGGUUAAGUCCCGCAACGAGCGCAACCCUUGUCCUGUGUUGCCAUCAUUUAGUUGGGAACUCGCAGGAGACCGCCAGGGAUAACCUGGAGGAAGGUGGGGAUGACGUCAAGUCCUCAUGGCCUUUAUGUCCAGGGCUACACACGUGCUACAAUGGCCGGUACAAAGCGUCGCAAACUCGCGAGAGGGAGCCAAUCGCAAAAAACCGGUCUCAGUUCGGAUUGCAGGCUGCAACUCGCCUGCAUGAAGCUGGAAUCGCUAGUAAUGGCAGAUCAGCACGCUGCCGUGAAUACGUUCCCGGGCCUUGCACACACCGCCCGU